CUGGGCACGAGCCACAGACCCUCGCCCUCCUCCUCCGGGAGCAGAAUCUGGCCUCACGCUCCUGGCCUCCCCUGGCAAACUCCCCCCUCCCCCCCCUGUCUCCAUGUGGACCCAGGCCCCCGAGGCCUAAGCCCCAGGGCAAGGUUUAGCAAGGAUGCUCCCCUGUAUCCGGAUGGGUCACACCACUGUCCCAUGAUGCUUCCAAUCCCAGCCCUGCCCCUUAGGAGCCGCACGUGAUUCGAUGCUGCGGGCUCUUUCUGAGGCUCUCUGUUCCUCCCUCCCCACCCCCACCACACGAUCUCUACCCACCCUGGCCACGUCAAAAAUCACCAUUUUAAAUAAGUAUCGAAGCCCCUCAAGGAAUCGCCUCCAAGAUGCCCGGCCACUCCCGAUGGGCCCCACCCUGAGGAGGAGCCCCGGCUCCCCCUUCCCUGCAGCCUGGGGCUGAAAUAUGUAUUCUCUCAUUCCCCGAGUCCCCAAGGAGGGGUCGGGGGCAUCUUGAGGCAGGGGACACCUCUCCUCCCCUUCAGCCGCCUUUGGUGGCCCCAGCUCUACCAGCCCCAAGUCUCUGCCUGAAACAAGGGUCCAUUUCAUUUAAAAAAAUGAAAUCCUUCCAGGGACAUUGGCUGCAAAUCAAGCAAUCCCAGGACUUCUGAAGAAUUCACCUUUGAGAUCACCCAAGGGCAUCAUCAGAGAGGGGGGACAGCGGGCAUGAGUCAGGCAGACCUCAUGAGAGAAGAGAAAAGGUGCCAGGUCAGGAGAGGGCCGGGUGAAGAUCCAAGAGAACGGGCCAGGCCUGGAGCAAGAGGCAGGGACAGCCGCCAGGAACUAGCUGCCCACGGGGCAGGCACAGCCGCCAGGUCCGAGCUGCCCAAGGUGGACACUCCCCUGGUAUUCCCACUAUGCCACAAGGUCCAGAGGGAGCCCAGCUCCGAGCCUCGCUGUUUCCAGGACUGUGCCUAUCCAGCUGCUUUUGCCGGAUUCCCCGAACACAGCAGGGAACAGAUGGUGGAUGACUUGUUUAGAGGAGGAGCCCAGACACGAGUCAGGAUGAGGAAAAUGAACCUUCCAUCCGCCUACAAUGCCAAGAGCAGGUGCCCAAGGGCCCUCCCUUUGUUCUGAGGCACCCCAGCAACUGGGGAGACCUGGCUCUUGGCUGGCAUGUACUGGGACACUGAUAACAUCCCUACUGGCGCUUCUAUGCCGGCCCUCCUGCCCCUGCCCCUCACUGAUAAGCAACCUCUUGAGAGCGUAAUUUUGGAAGGUGCUGUCGAAGGCAGCAGUGAGAUGACCCACCACAGAUCAAGGAAUGCACGGCCCUUACCUUCCUUGACAACUAAGUAUGCUCCAAAAAUAGCCCGAUCUAUUCUUAGAAGGCUCUCCGCUCUGACACAGGGGCCACCACCCAUUAUGAGAGCCUACAGUCAACUCCUCAUCUCUCUUGCCCAGAAUUCUCUCUGCCCCUUUCCGAAGCACCAGGAGAGAUGAAAAUGACUCCUGCCCAACCUAAUUUCUGACUGCUAUAUGAGACAUCUCUGAUUUCAGUAACCCAGAAUCUCAGCGGCUCACAUCAGCUGGAAAGGACUUCACAGCAUCUGGUCCAAUCAUCCUGAAGCAUUGCUCUCGUCUACAAGAACCCGACCCCCAAAAGUGUUGCAUCCAACAUCGGCUUGGAGAUCUCUAAUGAGGUGGAAUCCACCACCUACUGAGGCAGUCCACAUCACCUUGGGAUACUGUUAUAACCUCUAUGUUCAUCCCCACUCUCAUUUCUUUCAGAAAUCUCCAAUUGGCUGGUCAGUAUAAUUUGGACUCCAGCUGUCUAUAACCGAAUUUAUUAUCAUUCCCUACCAAAUCCUCCCAUUUUCCCAACUUCCCUAUCUCUACUAAGGGCAACAUCAUCCUCUCAAGCCCUUGGAUUCACAAUCUGGAAGCAUCCGGGACUCCUCAUUAUCUCUCACUCCCUAGAUCCAAUAAGGUGCCAAGGCCUGUCCAUUUCACCUCUGCAACAUUUCUGUUUCACCUCUGCAGCAUCUUUCUAAACAUUUCACUUCUAUAGCAUGUCUGGUCAAUUUCACCCCUGCAGUAUCUCUAUCUUUUUCAUCUCUGCAGCAUCUCUGUUCAUUUCACUUCACCUCCUUGUCCAUUUCACCUCUGCAGCAUCUCCUUGUCCAUUUCACCUCUGCAGCAUUUCUCUAAACAUUUCACCUCUAUCGUAUCUCUGGUCAAUUUCAUUCUGCAACAUUUCUCUAUCCAUUUCACCUCUGCAACAUCUUUCUGUCCAUUUCAACUCUUGAUCAUCUCCUUCUCUAUUUCACCUCUGCAACAUCUUUCUGUCCAUUUCACCUCUGCAGCAUCUCUCCAGUCCUCCCCCCCUUCUCUCCUCUGACAUAAUUCCCAUCCUGAUAUAGACCCUCAUCAUCUCAUGCCCAGACUAUUGCUACAGAUACUGGAGGGUCUGUUAGCCACAAGUCUCUUCCCACUCCAGCCCGUCCUCCACUCAGCCUCCAAAGUACUCUUUCCAAAGUUCAGAUCCCACCACAUCAACCUUUAUUCAAUAAACUUCAGCAUUUCCCCAUCACUGACAGGAUCAAAUACAAAAUGUUUAGCCUUCAAAGCCCUCCAUCACCAGCUCCCUCCUUCCUUAUUCCCCUCCACAUCCUCUUGGAUGCAGUGUCC
Molecule: long non-coding RNA, 2676 nt
Filed under: Sarcophilus harrisii (Tasmanian devil)
Lineage: Eukaryota; Metazoa; Chordata; Mammalia; Dasyuromorphia; Dasyuridae
Description: lncRNA (ENSSHAG00000032008.1)
Source: RNAcentral